Molecule: ribosomal RNA, 780 nt
Filed under: Arthrobacter agilis
Lineage: Bacteria; Bacillati; Actinomycetota; Actinomycetes; Micrococcales; Micrococcaceae
Description: bacterial SSU rRNA
Rfam family: Bacterial small subunit ribosomal RNA
Source: RNAcentral
GCAGCGACGCCGCGUGAGGGAUGAAGGCCUUCGGGUUGUAAACCUCUUUCAGUAGNNNNNNNGCCGGUCUUUUGGGUUGGUGACGGUACCUGCAGAAGAAGCGCCGGCUAACUACGUGCCAGCAGCCGCGGUAAUACGUAGGGCGCAAGCGUUAUCCGGAAUUAUUGGGCGUAAAGAGCUCGUAGGCGGUUUGUCGCGUCUGCCGUGAAAGUCCGGGGCUUAACUCCGGAUCUGCGGUGGGUACGGGCAGACUAGAGUGCAGUAGGGGAGACUGGAAUUCCUGGUGUAGCGGUGAAAUGCGCAGAUAUCAGGAGGAACACCGAUGGCGAAGGCAGGUCUCUGGGCUGUAACUGACGCUGAGGAGCGAAAGCAUGGGGAGCGAACAGGAUUAGAUACCCUGGUAGUCCAUGCCGUAAACGUUGGGCACUAGGUGUGGGGGACAUUCCACGUUUUCCGCGCCGUAGCUAACGCAUUAAGUGCCCCGCCUGGGGAGUACGGCCGCAAGGCUAAAACUCAAAGGAAUUGACGGGGGCCCGCACAAGCGGCGGAGCAUGCGGAUUAAUUCGAUGCAACGCGAAGAACCUUACCAAGGCUUGACAUGAACCGGAAUGAUGCAGAGAUGUGUCAGCCACUUGUGGCCGGUUUACAGGUGGUGCAUGGUUGUCGUCAGCUCGUGUCGUGAGAUGUUGGGUUAAGUCCCGCAACGAGCGCAACCCUCGUUCCAUGUUGCCAGCGGGUUAUGCCGGGGACUCAUGGGAGACUGCCGGGGGUCAACUCGGA